Molecule: transfer RNA, 72 nt
Filed under: Bos taurus (domestic cattle)
Lineage: Eukaryota; Metazoa; Chordata; Mammalia; Artiodactyla; Bovidae
Also listed under: 3 other names
Rfam family: tRNA
About the family: Transfer RNA (tRNA) molecules are approximately 80 nucleotides in length. Their secondary structure includes four short double-helical elements and three loops (D, anti-codon, and T loops).
Source: Rfam by way of RNAcentral
UCUCUGGUGGCUCAGAUGGUAAAGAAUCUGCCUGUAAUGCAGGAGACCCAGGUUUGAUUCCUGGGUUGGGAA